UACUAAUACUAUGUGAUACACUUUCUAAGAGUCGAGUUGUUUGGGAAUGCAGCUCAAAAAGGGUGGUAAAUUCCAUCUAAAGCUAAAUAUAGGCCUGAGACCGAUAGCGAACAAGUACCGUGAGGGAAAGAUGAAAAGUACUUUGGAAAGAGAGUCAAAUAGAACGUGAAA
RNAcentral lists this ribosomal RNA (171 nucleotides) under Mycobacterium tuberculosis. RNAcentral's name for it is "partial 23S ribosomal RNA". It matches the Rfam family "Eukaryotic large subunit ribosomal RNA", at positions 234 to 404 of the family's 3401-position model. The record is from RNAcentral. Lineage: Bacteria; Bacillati; Actinomycetota; Actinomycetes; Mycobacteriales; Mycobacteriaceae.